RNAcentral lists this long non-coding RNA (214 nucleotides) under Mytilus galloprovincialis (Mediterranean mussel). The record is from RNAcentral. Lineage: Eukaryota; Metazoa; Mollusca; Bivalvia; Mytilida; Mytilidae.
CCUUUGGAACAAUCUUCCUAGCCAUCUAAGACAUGAACACUCAAUCGAACUUUUUCAGAAAAAUUUGAAAACCCAUUAUUUUAGACUCCCUUUCAAUGAUUACAUUUAACUUUUCAUACUAACAAUGACUUUUUUAACUUUGUUCUUUUCCUUUUAUUUCAUUCUUAUUGCAUUGAUUGUUUUAAUGUUUAACACCUCUUUUAACUGCAUUGAU